UACGUAGGCAGCAAGCGUUGUUCGGAAUUACUGGGCGUAAAGAGUGUGUAGGUGGUGUCGUAAGUUUGGUGUGAAAUCUCCCGGCUUAACUGGGAGGGUGCGCCGAAGACUGCGAUGCUGGAGUAUGGGAGAGGAAAGCGGAAUUCCUGGUGUAGCGGUGAAAUGCGUAGAUAUCAGGAGGAACACCUGCGGUGUAGACGGCUUUCUGGACCAUUACUAACACUGAGACACGAAAGCGUGGGUAGCAAACAGG
This 253-nucleotide ribosomal RNA is filed under the name uncultured bacterium. Its description in RNAcentral is "partial 16S ribosomal RNA". It matches the Rfam family "Bacterial small subunit ribosomal RNA", at positions 524 to 776 of the family's 1533-position model. The record is from RNAcentral.